CAGAUGUGUGUGUUCCUUUAUGGUGACUUUCUCCACAUGCCUUUCAACACCUUCCAUCUGUAGAGAAGCCAACCUGCUCAAGUCAAUACUUGUCAUCCUCGAGGAAGCAGCCAUACUGUGAGCAGCCCUACAGAUAGAACCACAUGGUGUGAUGAGGAGCUCAGGCCUUCUGUCCAACAGCACAAGAGGAACUGAGACUCUCGAGCCAACAGCCUGCAAGGAACUGAAGCCUGCCAACAACCAUGUGACCAAGCUUGGAAGCUAGUGCUUCAGCCUCAGUUGAGUCUUGAGAUAACUGCAGCCCCAGUCAACAGCUUGACUGCACCCUCCUGAGAGAUCUUGAGUGAAAGGCACGUAUGUAACCAGCCCCCAAAAAUCAAGAAAUGAAACGUUACCAGAGCUGAAGUCUCCCUUGCACCACUUCUAGGUAUCUUAGAUUAUUUUUAUCUGUUUUAGAACUUUAUAUAAAUGGACUCAUAAAGUAUAUAUGCUUUAGCGUCUGCCUUCUUUUGUUCAAUAUUACAUUAGUGAGAUUGAUCAGACUGUUGUCUGUAGUUGUGGUUCAUUCAUUCUCAUUGCGGUAUAUUAUUCCAUUGAGUGAAUGUACUAUUUCUUUAUUUAAUUAUUUAUGGACAUUUGAAUUGUUUCUAGUUUGUUGGCUAUUACAAAUAGUGCUGCCAUGAUCAUUACUAUACCAAAGAAAUUGCCCAUUAGAAUUCUGUUUUGAAUUAUAAUAAACCC
RNAcentral lists this long non-coding RNA (741 nucleotides) under Equus asinus (donkey). Its description in RNAcentral is "lncRNA (ENSEASG00005033958.1)". The record is from RNAcentral. Lineage: Eukaryota; Metazoa; Chordata; Mammalia; Perissodactyla; Equidae.